This 497-nucleotide ribosomal RNA is filed under the name uncultured bacterium. Its description in RNAcentral is "partial 16S ribosomal RNA". It matches the Rfam family "Bacterial small subunit ribosomal RNA", at positions 28 to 507 of the family's 1533-position model. The record is from RNAcentral.
GAUGAACGCUGGCGGCGUGCCUAAUACAUGCAAGUCGAGCGAACAGACGAGGAGCUUGCUCCUCUGACGUUAGCGGCGGACGGGUGAGUAACACGUGGAUAACCUACCUAUAAGACUGGGAUAACUUCGGGAAACCGGAGCUAAUACCGGAUAAUAUAUUGAACCGCAUGGUUCAAUAGUGAAAGACGGUUUUGCUGUCACUUAGAGAUGGAUCCGCGCCGCAUUAGCUAGUUGGUAAGGUAACGGCUUACCAAGGCAACGAUGCGUAGCCGACCUGAGAGGGUGAUCGGCCACACUGGAACUGAGACACGGUCCAGACUCCUACGGGAGGCAGCAGUAGGGAAUCUUCCGCAAUGGGCGAAAGCCUGACGGAGCCACGCCGCGUGAGUGAUGAAGGUCUUCGGAUCGUAAAGCUCUGUUAUUAGGGAAGAACAAAUGUGUAAGUAACUAUGCACGUCUUGACGGUACCUAAUCAGAAAGCCACGGCUAACUACGUG